This 469-nucleotide ribosomal RNA is filed under the name Streptococcus mitis. RNAcentral's name for it is "bacterial SSU rRNA". It matches the Rfam family "Bacterial small subunit ribosomal RNA", at positions 28 to 481 of the family's 1533-position model. Lineage: Bacteria; Bacillati; Bacillota; Bacilli; Lactobacillales; Streptococcaceae. The record is from RNAcentral.
GACGAACGCUGGCGGCGUGCCUAAUACAUGCAAGUAGAACGCUGAAGGAGGAGCUUGCUUCUCCGGAUGAGUUGCGAACGGGUGAGUAACGCGUAGGUAACCUGCCUGGUAGCGGGGGAUAACUAUUGGAAACGAUAGCUAAUACCGCAUAAGAGUAGAUGUUGCAUGACAUUUGCUUAAAAGGUGCAAUUGCAUCACUACCAGAUGGACCUGCGUUGUAUUAGCUAGUUGGUGGGGUAACGGCUCACCAAGGCGACGAUACAUAGCCGACCUGAGAGGGUGAUCGGCCACACUGGGACUGAGACACGGCCCAGACUCCUACGGGAGGCAGCAGUAGGGAAUCUUCGGCAAUGGACGGAAGUCUGACCGAGCAACGCCGCGUGAGUGAAGAAGGUUUUCGGAUCGUAAAGCUCUGUUGUAAGAGAAGAACGAGUGUGAGAGUGGAAAGUUCACACUGUGACGGUAUCUU